AAUAUUGGGGCAUAUAAAAAAGGCAACUCUGUUCCGCAUAGUAGCUGUUGACAUUAUAGUUGCGCAGGAACUUUGUUGACUCUAGAGAACCUCGGGCAAAUUGCACAUCCCCGUGGCGUCGACUUUGCAUGCAGAUGUCAUCCAUAUCAACUUCCGAUGCCAUUUUCUGCGCCUACCAUGGUGACCAUGGGUAACGGGGAAUCAGGGUUCCAUUCCAUACAGGGACCCUGAGAAAAGGCUACCACAUGCAAGGAAGGCAGCAGGCGCGCAAAUGACCUACUCCCGACGCGGGAGGGUAGUGA
Pelobates cultripes (western spadefoot toad) is the source of this 302-nucleotide non-coding RNA. NCBI's taxonomy places the organism in Eukaryota, Metazoa, Chordata, Amphibia, Anura, Pelobatidae. The record is from the annotation of a GenBank genome assembly.